AGGAGCGUCGUCGCACGACAAGUAAAAUCAAGUCGAGGAACGCUCGUUACAGAGUUAAGCAAACGAGGUUGAUCGUGAUCGAAUCGAGAAGGUGUUGGGAGAGGCUUAUAAAUAAGUAGCUAGGUAGCUGAAUUAAUAUGUCUCCAUACAUAUUACUUCGUCUUGGAACCUUCCGUUGCGUGGUUAAGCAUUGCUUUAGCAAUAUAAUACACUUGGUUAAUUACUCUGAUUUCGAUUUGGUUGUACCCUUUCAUUCUAAGACAUUUUGCCCUUGAAUUAAGUACUUCUUUAUGGCGA
Molecule: long non-coding RNA, 297 nt
Organism: Salvia splendens (bonfire salvia)
Lineage: Eukaryota; Viridiplantae; Streptophyta; Magnoliopsida; Lamiales; Lamiaceae
Exons: 2
Source: RefSeq, a predicted model, not a curated record